Calypte anna (Anna's hummingbird) is the source of this 274-nucleotide long non-coding RNA. RefSeq lists it as uncharacterized. The transcript is spliced from 2 exons. NCBI's taxonomy places the organism in Eukaryota, Metazoa, Chordata, Aves, Apodiformes, Trochilidae. The record is from RefSeq and is a predicted model, not a curated record.
CCCCUUCCGCCGCGUUGUCUGCCAUGGUGGGGAAGGCCAAACGCCCGCGGCUCCACCGUGCUGCCCCCCGGCCAUGGCCCCCCCGGGAUCCGCCGCCGCUCCCCGAGUCCAGCCCCGGCCCGGUGCCCGGUGCGGGCGGCUGGAGCGUGGCGGGCGGCAAGGACUGGGACUUCUCAUCUUCUGGUGUCUUUUCUGGGCUGAAGAUUGAUCCAGAUACUCUAGUAAAGAAGCUUGACUUGGACUCAAGAAGCAUCAUUUCCUCCAGAACAGGUUU